Molecule: non-coding RNA, 1860 nt
Organism: Pelobates cultripes (western spadefoot toad)
Lineage: Eukaryota; Metazoa; Chordata; Amphibia; Anura; Pelobatidae
Source: the annotation of a GenBank genome assembly
ACACACUUCUUUGGAAAAGCCUACGAGCUAUCCCCUUAAUUUCUGAUCCCUUACAAUCUUUCUCUGUUGUCUCCCAUCUACUGUACUUCCUCCUCCCAAACACCCCUCCCAUAUUUAGGUACAUCCACUUCCCUUUUGUGUAUUCGGGCAGGGCCAUCUUCACUUACUGUUUUGUUAGAAUGAAAUGUUUGCUUGUUUACAUACUGUACAGCGCUUUUGAAUAUGUUGGCGCUAUAUAACUUAUUGUGAUUUGUGCACCUUUAUUAAGUCACCAAAAAGGAUGAGCUGUGUCUUUUUUUUUCUUUCUUUUUUUGUGACGGAAUACAUGCAUCGAACUAUGGCUUAUUAUUUACAUUUUAUUACUCACUUUGGCAGAAUACACAUAGUUAAACUUCUCUGUUGCUCAUAUAAAUUGCAAGAAAUCAGCAUGUUUUACAACUUGUAGCAAAAUGCACGCACACACACAACACAACGGUUGAGUAGGUGAUUUUUGUGCAAAAUCAAUGAAAAAAAGUGGGACUCUGAGCUCCUAUCCAGCUCCUUGCCACCCAGUCGAUCCCUAGUUGGAGGUACCAGUUUCUUGGAAGGGUCCUGUGUUUUUCAAACCUAGAAGUACCCCUUACCCACAUGGAAGAAUGCAGUGUUCUUUCAAUAACCAUUUUCAACAAGGAUUGCACUUUAAAACCAUUUGAACCUUUCUGUGUGUAUAUACCUAGCUGGACAAACUAAAUGCUUUAAAAAUGCUGGCUUUAAAAUAAAUAAGUAAAUACUGCUAUGGUCUUAUAGUGCCUAUGUUAAUGCACAAGGCUAAUAUGAUAUAAUACAAUAUUUUGCAUAUAUUAGCUGUAGAUAACUAUAUGGCAUGGUACUCGGCUAACAGGUGCAGGCACAGAGGCGUAACUAGUAACCACUGGGCCACGGUGCAAAAAUUGAUCCAUAUGUCUACCCCCAUCCCAUGAAACACAGACAUACGACUUGACUGACUACUUACUAAUGAAACAUGACUCAGGCUGUGAAGCUAUUGAAGGCAUGUGCUGUUUUAACCUAUCUGACCAUGGCACUAGUAUCCAUAAACAUAUAAAAGAUUUACAUGACUUAGUACAGGAUAUCAAAUAGGAUACUGGCUUCUUUGGGGAUUGGGAUUUUACAUUUGGGCUAGGAACAUGGUUGACUUUACUAACUAAGAAGAUUUUGUACUUUUUGCUAUUAGCUGUAUUUGUUAUUAUGGACAUUUUUCUAACCUUUAGAUUUUUCUCAUAUCUAUUAAGCUCUCUAUGUAAAAACAAACCUACUGUUGGUCGUACCUUAACUUACAUUCCAGCUCCGACUUCGGAAGGUUUUUACGAUGUUACCUCGUCUAACAAAUGAAGGAACUCUCCUCAGCUGAUUCUGGUGGUCUCUCAGUCCAAGGGAACCGUGAGGAAGAUAUGUCAAAGUCCCACAGGCUUUGGCUAGCAGGCCUGGAAAUACCUUGGACAUAUGGGUGACCCUUAUAUCAAAAGAUGGGAUUGUGAUAGAAUUUAUCUUAAUUCCAAGGCUCAAGCUUAUAGGUGUCAUAAUGAUAUCCUAUAUUAAAAUUGGCUAACUUGGACUCAGGAAAUGCUUGAUGCUUAAAGCAACACUAAAGACCAUAAAUGUCUAGUUCCGGGAGCAGAUAGCCCCACCUGAGCUGUCUCUUCCCAAAUCAUUAUGUUCUUUCUCUGAACUUAUUUGUUAUAUGUACAUGACGUUCAUCCCUAUGUCUCAUCUGUACUCCUUUCACUCCCUUCCUACUACUGUCCUAUGAGUAUUUGUACACAAGCACUUACUUUUUAAUGUAUAAAAACCCAAAUUAAUAAAUGAGAGGCUUGUUUUGAAUAA